GACGAACGCUGGCGGCGUGCUUAACACAUGCAAGUCGAACGGAAAGGCCCUGCUUUUGUGGGGUGCUCGAUUGGCGAACGGGUGAGUAACACGUGAGUAACCUGCCCUUGACUUUGGGAUAACUUCAGGAAACUGGGGCUAAUACCGGAUAGGAGCUCCUGCUGCAUGGUGGGGGUUGGAAAGUUUCGGCGGUUGGGGAUGGACUCGCGGCUUAUCAGCUUGUUGGUGGGGUAGUGGCUUACCAAGGCUUUGACGGGUAGCCGGCCUGAGAGGGUGACCGGCCACAUGGGGACUGAGAUACGGCGCAGACGCCUACGGGAGGCAGCAGUGGGGAAUAUUGCACAAUGGGCGGAAGCCUGAUGCAGCAACGCCGCGUGCGGGAUGACGGCCUUCGGGUUGUAAACCGCUUUCGACUGUGACGAAGCGUGAGUGACGGUAAUGGGUAAAGAAGCACCGGCUAACUACGUG
RNAcentral lists this ribosomal RNA (468 nucleotides) under uncultured bacterium. RNAcentral describes it as "partial 16S ribosomal RNA". It matches the Rfam family "Bacterial small subunit ribosomal RNA", at positions 28 to 507 of the family's 1533-position model. The record is from RNAcentral.